This is a long non-coding RNA of Gossypium arboreum, 483 nucleotides long. RefSeq lists it as uncharacterized. Lineage: Eukaryota; Viridiplantae; Streptophyta; Magnoliopsida; Malvales; Malvaceae. The record is from RefSeq and is a predicted model, not a curated record. The transcript is spliced from 2 exons.
AACGCAGUCCCAUUUUUGACCAAAAAUCACAGCCUUGAAAUCAAAUUUCUAGGGUUUCUUUUGCUAGCAGCCGAGCCACCAUUGUUUUGGUGAUCAACAAUAUGCAAACAGUACCCAUCCUCCCCGUUGAAGGCGCUCGAUCAUGCCUAGAAAAAUUUAGAACGGCCGUACGGAGGAGCGACCCUGGUGACGUGGAGGCCGAGUGUGGGGAUUUCUCGUGAGAAGCUGACCUUCUAGUGCCAUUCUGGCUUAAUCCAGAAGCUUCUGGCUGCUGAGAUUCUUUUUGGGUGUAUUGGGCCUCGGGUUUGGGUUAUUAGAAUUAGGAUUUAGGAUUUAUUUAAUUGGGUCAAAUUUUAUGUAACUGGGUUAAGUUUAUAUUAAGGGAUUUUGGGUUUAAGUUAUUUUUGGCCCAAAUAUUUGUAACCGAACAUUGGACUUCUGAUUUUGGAUUCUUUAUUUGUGUGUUUUUUUAUUUUUGUUUUA